GAGGGUGGAGCUCAGUGGUAGAGCUCACGCUUAGCAUGCAUGAGGUCCUGGGCUCAAUCCCCAGUACCUCCA
RNAcentral lists this transfer RNA (72 nucleotides) under Camelus dromedarius (Arabian camel). It matches the Rfam family "tRNA". Rfam says of the family: Transfer RNA (tRNA) molecules are approximately 80 nucleotides in length. Their secondary structure includes four short double-helical elements and three loops (D, anti-codon, and T loops). Further hydrogen bonds mediate the characteristic L-shaped molecular structure. tRNAs have two regions of fundamental functional importance: the anti-codon, which is responsible for specific mRNA codon recognition, and the 3' end, to which the tRNAs corresponding amino acid is attached (by aminoacyl-tRNA synthetases). tRNAs cope with the degeneracy of the genetic code in two manners: having more than one tRNA (with a specific anti-codon) for a particular amino acid; and 'wobble' base-pairing, i.e. permitting non-standard base-pairing at the 3rd anti-codon position. The record is from Rfam by way of RNAcentral. RNAcentral also lists the same sequence under 1 other name. Lineage: Eukaryota; Metazoa; Chordata; Mammalia; Artiodactyla; Camelidae.